UUUGGACGAGGGGCCCCUCUCGGGUUACCGAAUUCAGACAAACUCCGAAUGCCAAUUAAUUUAACUUGGGAGUCAGAACAUGGGUGAUAAGGUCCGUGUUCGAAAGGGAAACAGCCCAGACCACCAGCUAAGGUCCCAAAAUAUAUGUUAAGUGGAAAAGGAUGUGGCGUUGCCCAGACAACUAGGAUGUUGGCUUAGAAGCAGCCAUCAUUUAAAGAGUGCGUAAUAGCUCACUAGUCGAGUGACACUGCGCCGAAAAUGUACCGGGGCUAAACAUAUUACCGAAGCUGUGGAUUGUCCUUUGGACAAUGGUAGGAGAGCGUUCUAAGGGCGUUGAAGCAUGAUCGUAAGGACAUGUGGAGCGCUUAGAAGUGAGAAUGCCGGUGUGAGUAGCGAAAGACGGGUGAGAAUCCCGUCCACCGAUUGACUAAGGUUUCCAGAGGAAGGCUCGUCCGCUCUGGGUUAGUCGGGUCCUAAGCUGAGGCCGACAGGCGUAGGCGAUGGAUAACAGGUUGAUAUUCCUGUACCACCUAUAAUCGUUUUAAUCGAUGGGGGGACGCAGUAGGAUAGGCGAAGCGUGCGAUUGGAUUGCACGUCUAAGCAGUAAGGCUGAGUAUUAGGCAAAUCCGGUACUCAUUAAGGCUGAGCUGUGAUGGGGAGAAGACAUUGUGUCUUCGAGUCGUUGAUUUCACACUGCCGAGAAAAGCCUCUAGAUAGAAAAUAGGUGCCCGUACCGCAAACCGACACAGGUAGUCAAGAUGAGAAUUCUAAGGUGAGCGAGCGAACUCUCGUUAAGGAACUCGGCAAAAUGACCCCGUAACUUCGGGAGAAGGGGUGCUCUUUAGGGUUAACGCCCAGAAGAGCCGCAGUGAAUAGGCCCAAGCGACUGUUUAUCAAAAACACAGGUCUCUGCUAAACCGUAAGGUGAUGUAUAGGGGCUGACGCCUGCCCGGUGCUGGAAGGUUAAGAGGAGUGGUUAGCUUCUGCGAAGCUACGAAUCGAAGCCCCAGUAAACGGCGGCCGUAACUAUAACGGUCCUAAGGUAGCGAAAUUCCUUGUCGGGUAAGUUCCGACCCGCACGAAAGGCGUAACGAUUUGGGCACUGUCUCAACGAGAGACUCGGUGAAAUCAUAGUACCUGUGAAGAUGCAGGUUACCCGCGACAGGACGGAAAGACCCCGUGGAGCUUUACUGUAGCCUGAUAUUGAAAUUCGGCACAGCUUGUACAGGAUAGGUAGGAGCCUUUGAAACGUGAGCGCUAGCUUACGUGGAGGCGCUGGUGGGAUACUACCCUAGCUGUGUUGGCUUUCUAACCCGCACCACUUAUCGUGGUGGGAGACAGUGUCAGGCGGGCAGUUUGACUGGGGCGGUCGCCUCCUAAAAGGUAACGGAGGCGCUCAAAGGUUCCCUCAGAAUGGUUGGAAAUCAUUCAUAGAGUGUAAAGGCAUAAGGGAGCUUGACUGCGAGACCUACAAGUCGAGCAGGGUCGAAAGACGGACUUAGUGAUCCGGUGGUUCCGCAUGGAAGGGCCAUCGCUCAACGGAUAAAAGCUACCCCGGGGAUAACAGGCUUAUCUCCCCCAAGAGUUCACAUCGACGGGGAGGUUUGGCACCUCGAUGUCGGCUCAUCGCAUCCUGGGGCUGUAGUCGGUCCCAAGGGUUGGGCUGUUCGCCCAUUAAAGCGGUACGCGAGCUGGGUUCAGAACGUCGUGAGACAGUUCGGUCCCUAUCCGUCGUGGGCGUAGGAAAUUUGAGAGGAGCUGUCCUUAGUACGAGAGGACCGGGAUGGACAUACCUCUGGUGUACCAGUUGUCGUGCCAACGGCAUAGCUGG
RNAcentral lists this ribosomal RNA (1831 nucleotides) under Staphylococcus aureus. RNAcentral's name for it is "partial 23S ribosomal RNA". It matches the Rfam family "Bacterial large subunit ribosomal RNA", at positions 913 to 2744 of the family's 2925-position model. The record is from RNAcentral. Lineage: Bacteria; Bacillati; Bacillota; Bacilli; Caryophanales; Staphylococcaceae.